AAAUUGAAGAGUUUGAUCAUGGCUCAGAUUGAACGCUGGCGGCAGGCCUAACACAUGCAAGUCGAACGGUAGCACAGAGAGCUUGCUCUCGGGUGACGAGUGGCGGACGGGUGAGUAAUGUCUGGGAAACUGCCUGAUGGAGGGGGAUAACUACUGGAAACGGUGGCUAAUACCGCAUAACGUCGCAAGACCAAAGAGGGGGACCUUCGGGCCUCUUGCCAUCAGAUGUGCCCAGAUGGGAUUAGCUUGUUGGUGAGGUAACGGCUCACCAA
RNAcentral lists this ribosomal RNA (272 nucleotides) under Salmonella enterica subsp. enterica serovar Infantis. RNAcentral describes it as "partial 16S ribosomal RNA". It matches the Rfam family "Bacterial small subunit ribosomal RNA", at positions 1 to 271 of the family's 1533-position model. RNAcentral also lists the same sequence under 1 other name. Lineage: Bacteria; Pseudomonadati; Pseudomonadota; Gammaproteobacteria; Enterobacterales; Enterobacteriaceae. The record is from RNAcentral.